This 301-nucleotide ribosomal RNA is filed under the name uncultured bacterium. RNAcentral's name for it is "partial 16S ribosomal RNA". It matches the Rfam family "Bacterial small subunit ribosomal RNA", at positions 509 to 807 of the family's 1533-position model. The record is from RNAcentral.
CAGCAGCCACGGUAAUACGAAGGGGGCUAGCGUUGCUCGGAAUCACUGGGCGUAAAGGGUGCGUAGGCGGCUUGACAAGUCUUGUGUGAAAUCUAUGGGCUCAACCCAUAGUCUGCACGGGAAACUGUCGGGCUUGAGAAUGGGAGAGGUGAGUGGAAUUUCCGGUGUAGCGGUGAAAUGCGUAGAUAUCGGAAGGAACACCUGUGGCGAAAGCGGCUCACUGGACCAUUUCUGACGCUGAUGCACGAAAGCUAGGGGAGCAAACAGGAUUAGAUACCCCAGUAGUCCCUGUCUCUUAUAC